CAUUUUUGAGUUCAUAAAUUACUACUAGAUCAUUAGCAAUUUUCUUUAAAGUUAGGUUUCCAUUAUCAUCUUCUCCAAAAUUCAUUUUCGAAAAUUCUCGAAAAUUUUCCGAAAGUUUUUCGUGGUUCAAAAAGCGAUUCCAGUGCUGUGCAUGUUAAUCUGAACCUGUUUGGAGAUCUCAUUGGAUAUUUGGUGCGGACAGUGAAUCCAGAGGUACGAAUAGCAUAUUUGGUGCGAUUUGUGUUGAUUGUUCUUCAUCUUCUGCUUCAUUUUUCUUCUUCGGCUUCAUUUUGAAUCGGUGUGCGAAGAUUGAUCGAAGAAUAGUAACGGUGCCAAUCGGAGGUUAGUGAUUCCCGAUGACCUAAAUCGGAAUCGCGCGUGGAGGUAUUGGAAACGGAAGAAUAGCAAACGGCAGUGGCGUUUUCCAGCGAAACCGGUGAACGGAGAAGACGAUCGGAGAAAUCUGUUUGAAUCACGAUAGAGUUGGUUUGGUGAAUCGAAAAUCGAAGAAUUAAAACAGUGAAGAAUGAAUUUAUUCAUGUAAGUUCUUCUUCCGUUUCACUUCCGAUUCCGAAGAUUUGUGAUUCUGCUUUUGCGUUCAUCUGGUUCUUCAUUUCUUUUUGGAGCGAUUUUGGAAAUCUAUGAUUGGAAUCGGUUUCUGUACUGGAUUGUUAAAGCAUUGAAGCAAUUUGUUUUAUUCGUCGUUUUGUCCUGAGCAAUUUGAACAUUGUUAAGUUCUUUUCGGUACAAAUCGAGAAUCGUGAUUGAGACGUUGAACGAACGGAUUUGUGUUGGAUUAAUCAAAGAACUGGUGCGGCGUUCUCUAGUGACUAGAGUAGAGGAACGAAGAAACUGCAUUAUAUGAUUGUGCAUACAGCUUCGUCUUCUCAAACGCGGAAUUGAAAUUGAAGUGAUUUUGAGAAGUGAAUUGUGGGGUCCGUAAAUUUGAAGAAUUUGAUGAGAAAUGGUGUGCCAAAGGUGCAGGUGAAUCAAGUACUACCAAGCUACUGGAAUUUGCAAUCACACGGUGGGACCCAUGCUUUAAAGUUAAAUGCAAUUUGUUGAAUAAUGAGGGAGCGUAAAUUUUGGUGAGAAAUUUGGCGAUUGGAGUUCCUUUGCGCGGACCCGCGAGAAUUGAGUUCUUUGGACCAAGCUACAUUGGGCAGCAACAUUUUGGAUUUCAUGGUCUACUAAGAAUUUUCAUCAUUCUUUGUUUUUCUUUUUGUAAUCCAAUUCUAGUGCCAAUCUUUAGGUGCUUCUUUUGAGUGCCUACUUUCUUGAAAACCUUUAAUUUCUUGCUUGUCUUGAUUUUAUGGAUAAUCUUUGUGUUUGUCAUCUCUAAUCUCCUUUGAGUUUCACUCUUCAAAUUGAGCUUUUAUUGCUUUUAUUAUUGACCUCUUGAAGUGGAAUAUACCUUGAAUUUGUUCUUUGUGAAAAUUGAGCUAACUUCUAGGUAACAUCCUAAGAGAAGGCAAAGGACUUUGCAAGGGGUACUCACCUUUGGAGGACAAACAAGUAAAGGCUUGGAGAGAAACACUUGUGAGAGAAGAGAAGAGAACUUUGAAGAUUAUUUUUUUAAAAUUUUGUGUGAUUUCAAUUGUUUUGUAAUUUGGCCAUUAUCUUUACUUUAGGUGUCUUGGAAGAGCCUUUGGUGUUCUUCCAUCUCCUACAAGUUUUCUUUAAUUUUCUUAUUAGAUACACGCUUUAGACGGUGAGUGUGUCUUGAAGGUUCACAAGUGCCAACAAGCCUCACCAUUAGGAGUCGUCUAGUUUAAAUUUUUGCAAUUUAAAUUCUUAGUUUUUAAAAGCUUUCUUUUAGUUUCUUUCUUUAGAAAACUCUUUGUUUGGGUUGAAGAAGUUUUCAUUGGAAGGAGAUUUGUGAAGUGCAUUGGGAUAAGUUCUGGCUAGGAAAGACUUUGUACUUAAGAGUGUCUAUUGUGACCCACCUCUCUUUCCUGGGAAUUUACCUUGUGUGCUAAACUCACUUUCCUUCUUGUGAAAAAUCUUUUAAAUACAAAGCUUAAUAUGUCUAUGUAU
Molecule: long non-coding RNA, 2037 nt
Filed under: Phaseolus vulgaris (common bean)
Lineage: Eukaryota; Viridiplantae; Streptophyta; Magnoliopsida; Fabales; Fabaceae
Description: long non-coding RNA (PVUL_LNC002480)
Source: RNAcentral